UGUGAUAACGACCGACCGACCGACCGACAGACACACUUUGUUCUAUUCGUGUUCGACGCGCGCGAUGCGUCCGAUCUCGUUCGCCGCCACCGCCGCCGUCUGAAUUCGAUCGCGUUUUUUGCUGAUAAUUUUUUUUUUUAAUACAUUUUUUUACAUUUUUUUCCGCGUCUCUCGCCUAACGUCGGGCCCGCGCGCUCUCGCUACUCAAGCGACGGCUGUCUGUCUUUCGAAUAAUUUAUAUAAUAUAUAAUAUAAUAAUCAGUUUUGUUUUUUUUUUUUCUCAAAAGAUAAAACAACAACAACAACAACAACAAUAAUAAUAAUAAUAAAACAUAUAUAGUAAAGACCACACAGCUUUUGGCCCCGCAUGCCGCAACAUGUCCUACCGCUCGCUGGCCGCCGAUCGCGUGUACAAAGCGACUACGGACGACCUGCAGCCGGAGCGGAAGAACUCUGUCGGUACUGUUUUUAAAAAGGCUUUCGGCACGCUAAGCUCCAGCCCCCGGCGCAGGCUGUCCGAACCGCUUAUGUCCGGCGUGCCCGUAAUCGGCACCGGAAACAUCAACACGCCGCUCAGAAAAAUGCCCACCUCUGCCAUAUCCGAGGAAGCGUCGCUGCUCAGUGGCAUGCGAUCGGAGACUUUGGAAGAAGUGGAACUCACCGGCGUCCGUCCGUCGCUACCCGCCGUCCGAACGUUUACCAGGGGCAACACCGGUGUGGAAGAGGUGUACGUGGACACCGACAAUGGGCCGGUGUGCGUGGCCGUGCAAGGCGAUCGGUCCAGGCCACCAAUACUCACUUACCACGACUUAGGACUGAACUACGUCACGAGUUUUCAGACAUUCUUCAAUUAUACUGAAAUGCGCACCCUCAUGUCAAAUUUCUGCGUAUACCACGUGAAUGCACCCGGACAGGAAGAAGGAGCAGCACCGUUAUCGGAUGACUAUGUUUUUCCUAGUAUAGAUGAUUUAGCGAAUCAGUUAGACCACGUUCUAAGAUACUUCGGUUUGCAGUCGAUCGUUGGACUUGGAGUGGGAGCUGGUGGGAAUAUUUUGACGCGGUUCGCUUACAGACAACCAACAAAGGUCGAAGCCCUGUGCCUGAUCAACGUGGUGUCGACGCCGGCCGGUUGGAUCGAGUAUGGUUAUCAAAAGUUGAACAGCAGAUAUUUGAAAUCCAAAGGCAUGACACAAGGAGUGAUGGACUAUUUGAUGUGGCACCAUUUUGGAAAAGGAACCGAAGAGAGGAACCACGAUCUGGCCAGAGUGUACCGCGAGUACUUCGAGCACAGCGUUCACCCGGGAAACCUAGCUGCGUUCAUCGACUCGUACGUGAGACGGACGGACCUGGGAAUCAGCAGGAGCACGCCGACGUCUGAGCAAUGCCCGGCAGGACGCCGGCUCAGCAUGUCCACCACGUUGCAGAUGCCCAUCAUCAACGUGUGCGGAGCUCUGUCGCCGCACCAGGAGGACACGGUGACGCUCAACUCGAGACUGGACCCAACCAAGUCGUCGUGGAUGAAGAUAUCCGACUGUAGCAUGGUGCUGGAAGAGGUACCACAAAAAAUGUGUGAAGCGCUGCGGCUUUUCUUGCAAGGACUCGGUUACGCUGUGAGACUCGGCCGGCCACCGUUGACCGUAUCCAGAUCGGCUGAAGGUAAAAAUGUACUAGCUAAUGCAUUUAGCGCACGGAUGCACGAAUAGUUAGCGCACGCACACACACCCACAGAAACACAUACACACACAUAUAUAUAUAUACAGACACACACGUACUACACACACAUCAAAUACACCCUCCUACCUACCGGGCAAAUUGAUCGACUAAAAGUAUAUCAGCUUCGAAAAAACGAAAUUUGUAACACUUGUAUCAGAAUAUUAUAAUCGCGAGGCUGGGCAUUAUGGUGUUUAAGAUGAGACGAAAGUUUUUUACGACGUGUUAAAGUUUUUUAUUCGAGUAUGUCGUUAUUGUUUUGCAUUUUAAAUAAAAAUUACAAUUAUAUUUAUGUCUAUUGUUAUACGUGUAUAAAAUUGUCUCGACUACUUGGUCAUUGUUGUAAACUUAUGAAUACGAUUUUGAGUAUAAAACAUAUGUGAUAUGCACUAUAUUUUCGAUAAUAUAUGUUGUGAUUUAAUAUAAUGUUUUAUAGAACCUAUAUUUUCAUUUUUAUUUUUUUGUUUGAUGGAGUUCGAAUGCAAUAUUUUUACGACGACAAAUAAAUUAGGUAUUAAAAUAUAAACUUUUUACCGAUACCGUCCGUCUUAGGAAAAAAGUUUCCCCUAAAAUUACAGGUAUUAAAAAAAUACUCAAACAUUUUAAAAACAUUAUUGUUAACACAACCAAUUAAAUAAAUUUAAAAAAAAGUUACUUGGCUGCGAUACUAUAUUUCUUCCGAUUUAACUUAUACAAGUAUUAUCACGAAAUUAUUAUUGGAAAAAAAAAUAAAGUUUAACGUCCAGCCUUGCUCAUAUUAUAUUCUAUACUAUGCUAUCCACACAACUAUAAGUGCAACGCUAUAUUUUGUUUUCAAACACGUAUAAUUAUUUAAUCAAUACUGUUAUUUUUAUAAAUAUACAAUAUCAUUACACACGCUUAUGUAGAUUUAAUUUAUGUAUGCGUGUACAAGUUAGAAAUCAUUAAUAACUAUAAAUAAUUUUUACUGACAUUGACGCAACUAAAUAAAACAGUGGUGUUUUCGAGGAUACAAUAGCGUUAGGUAAUCAGGUUUUACAAUAUACAACAAUUUUUUUUCAUGAGAAUUUGUUCAGUUCGAUUGCUCAGAAUCUACUAUCAUAACGCCCGUCGUGCAGUGCCUCGAUAAAUUACAAUUAUUUAUGAUAACCAAUUUGAACCAAACUGCGGAAAUGUGUUCAUAAUAUUAGUUUAUCUAUAUAAAAGCAAUUUUGCCUUCAAGUGUUGUUGCAUAUAUUACGUUUAAAGUUAUCAUUUGCUCGGAAUCCAAAACCGUUCAAGCGUAUACUAACGCGUUACUAAUACACCAGAGAAAUCAAAAUUGAAAUUAUCCGUUUUAUAUUCUUAGUCGUAUAUACAUAUAGCACGGUCUAAUCAAAUUAAUAAGUUAUAUAAUACAUAAUCGUCCAAUACAGCAAUAUGAUAAUUUCGUUUAAGUCAGUUCAACAAUUAGGUAUUAUUUGUCCUAAAAUGUUAAACCGUUGAAGACAUUUAGACUUUUAAUAAUUGAAUUUAUCUAAUACUUAAUCAUUUAAAGAAAAAGUCUAACCUUAUAUCUAAAGUUAAAUUUUGGAAUAUAAAAUAAUAUAUGGUUAUGAAACCGAAAGAUAAAUACUGCCAUGUUUAUUGGUUUUAGUUUUAAACGAGCCGUCGAAUAAUAAUAUUACACUUGAAAAACAAAUAAAUUCGUAGAAAUAUAAUAUCUAAUUACCUGUUAAUAACCAUGUUUUAAUGAAAAAAAAAACUUGUGUCUAUAUAUUAUUGUAUAAUACGUCAUAUUUUCGAGUCGUGUAAUUUUGUAUUGCAGUUUAUUAUUUAUUUUUUUCAAGAUUCAGCAUUGUUUGUAAUCGUGCCUUUGAUAAAAUAUCAAACAUAUUUUUAAUUUAAAUUGUGUCUUGAAAAUAUAUACACAUUUAUGAAAUAAUUAUAAUAUACAAUGGGCAUAUAACACACAUUAUCGCUAUAAUUCGUUCUGUUGUAAAUUGUUUGAUAGAAAUGUCUUCGAUUACAAUAAUCUCUCAUCUUUGGCAUAUUAUUAUUUAUCGAUCAGGAAUAACACACUGUAACUAACACAAACAUAAUAAUCAUAAAUACUCAUUAAUUAAUUAAACUAUAAUUAUUAAACUAAUUUAAUAAUCUAAAUAUGAUUUAUAGUUUCAUUUGAGAACUUAAUAUUAUUAUGUAUGUUAGCAACUAUUAAACUAUUCAUUGCACGUCGAUGCAUAAUGUAUGACACACAAAACUGAAAUUAAAAAAAAUUGCUUGAAUAGUUUAGUUUAAUUUAUUAGUACCUAUCUAGUAACUUGUUAUUUUUCAAACACAAUAAUUAAUAAUACAUACAUACAAUAAAUGUUUCUUUUAUGUUGAAUAGAUUAUCAAACAAAUAAUUACUAAAAAAUAUAAUCAUUGACAUUUUUUUUUAUUAAUUAUAUUAUAUUCAUAAAAGUAUAAGCUGUUUACCAAUAUAUAUUUUUUUAAACCAAUUGUAUUUAAGACAUUUAAAGAAUUUUAUUAUAAACUUAGGUGCUAAUGGUAAUUCAGAUAAGAAAUAAUGAUCCCGACAAAACAUUCCGUAUAGGUUCACCUAAAAUGAUACGAGUUUGUAAUAAACAAUGAAUUCGAUUAAAAAUUUUCCGAAGAUAUUUCAAAAUUAACGAAUACAAAUUUAUUCAAGCGCAUACUACGAAAUCACGGUUAUAUCGAAAUCCAUAAGGCAGUCCGCGUCCAAAGACAGCGUGCGCAGCUCGCCGUGGCCGUUCAGAAUCACCGAAAACCCGCUGACGGCAUGAUGACAUGAUGCGCGUAAUGCGUUUAUGUCAUUAGCGUGCGCAGGUCGUCUGGCGGCGAGGCGGGAGGAUGGUGCUAUAGCAACAGUUUUACAAUAAUAAUAUAAUUAUAGGUAUACGCAUAUAUAUAUAUGUAUAUAUAGAUGACAUAUAUAAAUAUUAUAACAUAAAAUAUACACCCGUGGAGUAUUUUCGCGGUCUGGCAUCGACGAGUCGUGGGGUGACAAACGUAUACGAACGGUCUGGCUAGUUUGUUUUUUUUUGUAGACAAUUAUAUACAUAUAACAAAUAUAUAUAUAUAUAUAUAUAUAUAUAUACGUAGACCUAUAUGUAUUAUGAUAAUAAACAGUUAUGUAAUAUGUAAUGACGUUAGGGAUAUUGAGACUCAUAUCAUCAAAAAAAGCUUCAGACGUAGUUUUUGCUAAACGGAGAAACAAACUCCGUAUGUAUUGUUAUAAUGUAUAAGUACGCCUAAAAAUUAAAUUAAAUUAAUAUAUUAUUAUUAUUAUGAUAUAAUCGUUAACGAAUAAUAAAAACGACGAGAUAAACGAGUUAGUUUUAAUAGACUGCACAAACACCUGCGCUUUUUUAUUGUUUGUUUGUUUUUUUUUUUUUAUAUAUAUAUAUACUUUACGUUGUUGAUUAUUGAUGUUAAUAGUUUGUUAAGUGUUGCUGUUAUUUAAUCAGAUAUAUUGUACACGCCGUGGAUUUUAUAUACCGUUCUGUAUGAUAUAAAGAUGGAUUGUGAUAAGUAACAAUAUAUAACAAUGGAAUUUAUAAUUAUACAUAUUUGUAAUUUUAAUUGUUGCAUAUUAUGUCUUUAAAUAAUUAUUACAUUGAUAAUA
Molecule: RNA transcript, 5320 nt
Organism: Rhopalosiphum padi (bird cherry-oat aphid)
Lineage: Eukaryota; Metazoa; Arthropoda; Insecta; Hemiptera; Aphididae
Gene: MESK2
Gene name: protein NDRG3
Exons: 12
Source: RefSeq, a predicted model, not a curated record